Long non-coding RNA from Bos indicus x Bos taurus (hybrid cattle), 268 nucleotides. The record is from Ensembl. Lineage: Eukaryota; Metazoa; Chordata; Mammalia; Artiodactyla; Bovidae.
AACAAGAUGAUGCAUUCUUGGUAAAUAAAGCAGAGUCCAUAGCUAGCAUACUUGGGGUUUGGUGUACAUCCAAGUUUCAAUAGCUGGCUCUUAAGGGCUUGAACGUCACUCAUUGGAAGGAAAAAAGCAAAUGAGUUCUGAGGUAUGGAACUCUGCCUUCGUUUACCAAGACGUCCGCUGUGUGUAUGUGUGUGUUCUCAGUCGUUUCCCACCAUGUGGCUACAAUAAGAGUCAACCACCAGGCUCCUCUGUCCAUGGCAUUUCCCAG